UGUAGUCAUAUGCUUGUCUCAAAGAUUAAGCCAUGCAUGUCUAAGUAUAAGCAAUUAUACCGUGAAACUGCGAAUGGCUCAUUAAAUCAGUUAUCGUUUAUUUGAUAGUACCUUACUACUUGGAUAACCGUGGUAAUUCUAGAGCUAAUACAUGCUGAAAACCCCAACUUCGGGAGGGGUGUAUUUAUUAGAUAAAAAACCAACGCCCUUCGGGGCUUCUUGGUGAUUCAUGAUAACUUCACGGAUCGCAUGGCCUUGCGCCGGCGACGGUUCAUUCAAAUUUCUGCCCUAUCAACUUUCGAUGGUAAGGUAUUGGCUUACCAUGGUUUCAACGGGUAACGGGGAAUUAGGGUUCGAUUCCGGAGAGGGAGCCUGAGAAACGGCUACCACAUCCAAGGAAGGCAGCAGGCGCGCAAAUUACCCAAUCCCGACACGGGGAGGUAGUGACAAUAAAUACUGAUACAGGGCUCUUUUGGGUCUUGUAAUUGGAAUGAGAGCAAUUUAAACCCCCCAACGAGGAACAAUUGGAGGGCAAGUCUGGUGCCAGCAGCCA
Molecule: ribosomal RNA, 553 nt
Filed under: uncultured fungus
Lineage: Eukaryota; Fungi
Description: SSU rRNA
Rfam family: Eukaryotic small subunit ribosomal RNA
Source: RNAcentral